RNAcentral lists this ribosomal RNA (433 nucleotides) under uncultured bacterium. RNAcentral describes it as "partial 16S ribosomal RNA". It matches the Rfam family "Bacterial small subunit ribosomal RNA", at positions 29 to 507 of the family's 1533-position model. The record is from RNAcentral.
AGCGAACGCUGGCGGCAGGCCUAACACAUGCAAGUCGAACGAACUCUUCGGAUUUAGUGGCGGACGGGUGAGUAACACGUGGGAACGUGCCUUUAGGUUCGGAAUAACUCAGGGAAACUUGUGCUAAUACCGAAUGUGCCCUUCGGGGGAAAGAUUUAUCGCCUUUAGAGCGGCCCGCGUCUGAUUAGCUAGUUGGUGAGGUAAAGGCUCACCAAGGCGACGAUCAGUAGCUGGUCUGAGAGGAUGAUCAGCCACAUUGGGACUGAGACACGGCCCAAACUCCUACGGGAGGCAGCAGUGGGGAAUAUUGCGCAAUGGGCGAAAGCCUGAUGCAGCCAUGCCGCGUGAAUGAUGAAGGUCUUAGGAUUGUAAAAUUCUUUCACCGGGGACGAUAAUGACGGUACCCGGAGAAGAAGCCCCGGCUAACUUCGUG